This 468-nucleotide ribosomal RNA is filed under the name uncultured bacterium. RNAcentral describes it as "partial 16S ribosomal RNA". It matches the Rfam family "Bacterial small subunit ribosomal RNA", at positions 28 to 507 of the family's 1533-position model. The record is from RNAcentral.
GACGAACGCUGGCGGCGUGCUUAACACAUGCAAGUCGAACGGAAAGGCCCUGCUUUUGUGGGGUGCUCGAGUGGCGAACGGGUGAGUAACACGUGAGUAACCUGCCCUUGACUUUGGGAUAACUUCAGGAAACUGGGGCUAAUACCGGAUAGGAGCUCCUGCUGCAUGGUGGGGGUUGGAAAGUUUCGGCGGUUGGGGAUGGACUCGCGGCUUAUCAGCUUGUUGGUGGGGUAGUGGCUUACCAAGGCUUUGACGGGUAGCCGGCCUGAGAGGGUGACCGGCCACAUUGGGCCUGCGAUACGGCCCAGACUCCUACGGGAGGCAGCGGUGGGGAAUAUUGCACAAUGGGCGGAAGCCUGAUGCAGCAACGCCGCGUGCGGGAUGACGGCCUUCGGGUUGUAAACCGACUUGGCCUGUGACGAGGCGUGAGUGACGGUAAUGGGUAAAGAAGCACCGGCUAACUACGUG